UAAAAGGAUCAUUUCGCUUGGGGGUGG
Molecule: non-coding RNA, 27 nt
Filed under: Mus musculus (house mouse)
Lineage: Eukaryota; Metazoa; Chordata; Mammalia; Rodentia; Muridae
Source: RNAcentral